RNAcentral lists this long non-coding RNA (244 nucleotides) under Lathyrus oleraceus (garden pea). RNAcentral's name for it is "Pisum sativum (pea) long non-coding RNA (PSAT_LNC021990)". The record is from RNAcentral. Lineage: Eukaryota; Viridiplantae; Streptophyta; Magnoliopsida; Fabales; Fabaceae.
UUAGGGUUUGCGUGAGAUGAAAGUGUGUGAGUCAGAUUGAAUUCUUCAGAGCUGCCUGGGGGUUGCUCUGAGUUCUCUGUCAGGUUUCUCUCCAGGUUUUGUCAAGGGUUUUGUUUCAAGGAAACCUCAGAGUAUUUUGCUUCUCUUCCUUUUUCUGUCUGAUCUCCCUCUUUUAUAACCUGAUUUUCAUGGCUUUGUGGGCUCAAAUGAGAGAGGUCCAAGUCCAAGUUUUUUCUAUUAUAUU